GUUGAUAUAGCUCAGAAGGUAGAGCACAUUCUUGGUAUGAAUGUUGUCGGCAGUUCGAUUCUGCCUAUCAGCA
This 73-nucleotide transfer RNA is filed under the name Candidatus Nardonella dryophthoridicola. Its description in RNAcentral is "tRNA-Thr". It matches the Rfam family "tRNA". Rfam says of the family: Transfer RNA (tRNA) molecules are approximately 80 nucleotides in length. Their secondary structure includes four short double-helical elements and three loops (D, anti-codon, and T loops). Further hydrogen bonds mediate the characteristic L-shaped molecular structure. tRNAs have two regions of fundamental functional importance: the anti-codon, which is responsible for specific mRNA codon recognition, and the 3' end, to which the tRNAs corresponding amino acid is attached (by aminoacyl-tRNA synthetases). tRNAs cope with the degeneracy of the genetic code in two manners: having more than one tRNA (with a specific anti-codon) for a particular amino acid; and 'wobble' base-pairing, i.e. permitting non-standard base-pairing at the 3rd anti-codon position. RNAcentral also lists the same sequence under 1 other name. Lineage: Bacteria; Pseudomonadati; Pseudomonadota; Gammaproteobacteria. The record is from RNAcentral.